CUUUCUUUGAAUUUUUAAAACCGAUGGAUCGUCAAAAUUCUGAUGACAUCGUGAGAUUUCUCGAUGGAAUGGCUAGCUCCGACGACGUUCUAUUCGGUUUCCUCGACGAAGGAAACCAGUCACCGGAAGACUUCCCGGACUCCGGUAACCUCAACGGUGGUGGAGAUAUAGACGAUGUUGACGACAAUAGCAAUUGCAAUCCUGAAGUAAACAAAGCUUUCUGGCAGGAACAAGAAAAACUUCUUCAGGUACUUUUUUUUUCUUCUUUCAAAAAGUUCAAAAUCACAAUUUUUAGUUAGCCGGUUUAUUCGGGGGUCUAAAGUUGUUUGGGAUUGUGUAGGGGACACUGUAUAGGACAAGUUCAAUUGAGACUUAGCAACAAACAUUUAUACGAAGAGUAAGAGACAUUAAACGGAGCGCUAAAAAUGUAAAGGAAAACUUUAUAUAAUUUCAUUGUUAAAUGGGAGUUUUCGCCCGAUAUUCUAGAAUGAGUAAAACAAAUCUUUUGUUUUUUGGGUGAUAAAAGUCAUUUUUGGUUAUCCUUUUUUGCUAGAAGGGAAUCUUUUUAUUAUUAUUAGAAUAUAUGAUCAGAGUAUAUCCGAAUAUGUUGUGAAGAAGCUCACGAGAUUAGUCAUGCUGACAUAGGAACUAGCUGUCUUGAGCAAUCAUUCAUCCCCGAGAUCUGACACAUCCUCCUAUCAAAGUUCGACACGUCACAACCAAUCCUCUCUUUCGCGGCGCCUUGUACCUGCUUCGCUGAUUUCAGACCGGUCCCAUCUCCGCCCUCCCCCACUGCUAUAUAAACUCUCUUCUCUUUUCUCUCAAAAAUAAAAACAAAAAAAACAUUAAUUUUUCUCCCUUUCUUUGAAUUUUUAAAACCGAUGGAUCGUCAAAAUUCUGAUGACAUCGUGAGAUUUCUCGAUGGAAUGGCUAGCUCCGACGACGUUCUAUUCGGUUUCCUCGACGAAGGAAACCAGUCACCGGAAGACUUCCCGGACUCCGGUAACCUCAACGGUGGUGGAGAUAUAGACGAUGUUGACGACAAUAGCAAUUGCGAUGCUGAAGAAAACAAAGCUUUCUGGCAGGAACAAGAAAAACUUCUUCAGGUACUUUUUUUUCUUCUUUCAAAAAGUUCAAAAUCACAAUUUUUAGUUAGCCGGUUUAUUCGGGGGUCUAAAGUUGUAUGGGAUU
RNAcentral lists this long non-coding RNA (1191 nucleotides) under Brassica napus (rape). Its description in RNAcentral is "long non-coding RNA (BNAP_LNC019387)". The record is from RNAcentral. Lineage: Eukaryota; Viridiplantae; Streptophyta; Magnoliopsida; Brassicales; Brassicaceae.